GCAAUAAUGGGGUAGAGGUAACCCAGGUCUUGAAAGUUAUGGGCCGAUGACACAAUUAAAGACCAGCCGAGGGUUCAAAUCCCUCUUAAUGCA
Mycena galopus ATCC 62051 is the source of this 93-nucleotide non-coding RNA. NCBI's taxonomy places the organism in Eukaryota, Fungi, Basidiomycota, Agaricomycetes, Agaricales, Mycenaceae. The record is from the annotation of a GenBank genome assembly.